RNAcentral lists this ribosomal RNA (925 nucleotides) under uncultured archaeon. RNAcentral's name for it is "bacterial SSU rRNA". It matches the Rfam family "Archaeal small subunit ribosomal RNA", at positions 7 to 922 of the family's 1478-position model. The record is from RNAcentral.
GUUGAUCCUGCCGGAGGCCACUGCUAUUGGGGUUCGGCUAAGCCAUGCGAGCGGAGGGCGCGGUCGAAAGAUCGUGGCCCCGCACACGGCUCAGUAACACGUAGUCAACCUACCCUUGGGACGGGGACAACCUCGGGAAACUGAGGCUAAUCCCCGAUAGGCGAGGGACGCUGGGAUGCCCUCUCGCCCAAAGCUCCGGCGCCCAAGGAUGGGACUGCGACCUAUCAGGCUGUUGGUGGUGUGACGGACCACCAAACCUACGACGGGUACGGGCGAUGGGAGUCGGAGCCCGGAGAUGGGGACUGAGACAAGGCCCCAGGCCCUACGGGGCGCAGCAGGCGCGAAAACUCCGCAAUGCGCGCAAGCGUGACGGGGGGAUCCCAAGUGCCGUUGGUCUUUUGAUCGACGGCUUUUAGGAAGUUUAAGAAGCUUCCAGAAUAAGGGCUGGGUAAGACUGGUGCCAGCCGCCGCGGUAACACCAGCAGCCCAAGUAGUGGCCGCGAUUAUUGGGCCUAAAGCGCUCGUAGCCGGGCCAGCAAGUCCUUUGUGAAAUCGGGCCGCCCAACGGUUCGGCGUGCAAAGGAUACUGUUGGCCUUGAGGCCGGGAGAGGUCUGAGGUACUCCUGGGGUAGCGGUGUAAUGCUCUAAUCCUGGGGGGACCACCAGUGGCGAAGGCGUCCGACCAGAACGGACCUGACGGUGAGGGGCGAAGGCUAGGGGAGCGAACGGGAUUAGAUACCCCGGUAGUCCUAGCUGUAAAGCAUGCGGGCCAGGUGUCUAGCGCUCCUCGAGGGCGCUAGGUGCCGGAGGGAAGCCGUUAAGCCCGCCGCCUGGGAAGUACGGCCGCAAGGCUGAAACUUAAAGAAAUUGGCGGGGGAGCACCACAAGGGGUGGAACCUGCGGUUCAAUUGGAGUCAACGCCGGA